GACGGCCAUAUCUCGUUGAAACGUCAGUUCUCGUCCAAUCACCAAAGUUAAGCAGCGUUAAGCUUGCUCGCUACUUAGAUGGGUGAUUCUUUGGGAGUACCAGUUGCUGUAA
Non-coding RNA from Acanthosepion pharaonis, 112 nucleotides. The record is from the annotation of a GenBank genome assembly. NCBI's taxonomy places the organism in Eukaryota, Metazoa, Mollusca, Cephalopoda, Sepiida, Sepiidae.